AGCAGCCGCGGUAAUUCCAGCUCCAAUAGCGUAUAUUAAAGUUGUUGCAGUUAAAAAGCUCGUAGUUGAACUUCGGGGUUUACCCAUUGGUCAGGCUUAAUUGUCUGUACUGGUGAGAUAAAUCUCUACCUUCUGAGGAACUUUCAUGCCAUUUAUUUGGUGUGAUUGGAAAUCAGGACUAUUACUUUGAAAAAAUUAGAGUGUUUAAAGCAGGCUAACGUCUGAAUAUAUUAGCAUGGAAUAAUGGAAUAGGACGGCUUGGUUCUAUUUCGUUGGUUUCUAGGAUCACCGUAAUGAUUAAUAGGGAUAGUUGGGGGCAUUAGUAUUCAAUUGUCAGAGGUGAAAUUCUUGGAUUUAUUGAAGACUAACUACUGCGAAAGCAUUUGCCAAGGAUGUUUUCAUUAAUCAAGAACGAAAGUUAGGGGAUCGAAGACGAUCAGAUACCGUCGUAGUCUUAACCAUAAACUAUGCCGACUAGGGAUCGGACGAAGUUAAUUUUAUAAUGACGCGUUCGGCACCU
This 520-nucleotide ribosomal RNA is filed under the name uncultured Diversispora. Its description in RNAcentral is "SSU rRNA". It matches the Rfam family "Eukaryotic small subunit ribosomal RNA", at positions 569 to 1088 of the family's 1831-position model. The record is from RNAcentral. Lineage: Eukaryota; Fungi; Glomeromycota; Glomeromycetes; Diversisporales; Diversisporaceae.